CGGGAUUUAGCUCAGUGGUAGAGCGCUUGCCUAGGAAGCGCAAGGCCCUGGGUUCGGUUCCCAGCUCCGA
This 70-nucleotide transfer RNA is filed under the name Rattus norvegicus (Norway rat). It matches the Rfam family "tRNA". From Rfam's summary of the family: Transfer RNA (tRNA) molecules are approximately 80 nucleotides in length. The record is from Rfam by way of RNAcentral. Lineage: Eukaryota; Metazoa; Chordata; Mammalia; Rodentia; Muridae.